UGAGGAAUAUUGGUCAAUGGGCGCAAGCCUGAACCAGCCAAGCCGCGUGAAGGAUGACGGCCCUAUGGGUUGUAAACUUCUUUUGUAUGGGAAGAACUCCCCGACGUGUCGGGGGCUGACUGUACUAUACGAAUAAGCAUCGGCUAACUCCGUGCCAGCAGCCGCGGUAAUACGGAGGAUGCAAGCGUUAUCCGGAUUCAUUAGGUAUAAAGGGUGCGUAGGCGGAUUAAUAAGUCAGUGGUGAAAUACUACAGCUCAACUGUAGAACUGCCAUUGAUACUGUUAGUCUUGAGUACAAUUGAGGUAGGCGGAAUGUGUGGUGUAGCGGUGAAAUGCUUAGAUAUCACACAGAACACCGAUUGCGAAGGCAGCUUACUAAACUGUAACUGACGCUGAUGCA
Molecule: ribosomal RNA, 400 nt
Filed under: uncultured bacterium
Lineage: Bacteria
Description: bacterial SSU rRNA
Rfam family: Bacterial small subunit ribosomal RNA
Source: RNAcentral